RNAcentral lists this ribosomal RNA (433 nucleotides) under uncultured bacterium. Its description in RNAcentral is "partial 16S ribosomal RNA". It matches the Rfam family "Bacterial small subunit ribosomal RNA", at positions 29 to 507 of the family's 1533-position model. The record is from RNAcentral.
AGCGAACGCUGGCGGCAGGCCUAACACAUGCAAGUCGAACGAACUCUUCGGAGUUAGUGGCGGACGGGUGAGUAACACGUGGGAACGUGCCUUUUGGUUCGGAAUAACUCAGGGAAACUUGUGCUAAUACCGAAUGUGCCCUUCGGGGGAAAGAUUUAUCGCCAUUAGAGCGGCCCGCGUCUGAUUAGCUAGUUGGGGAGGUAACGGCUCACCAAGGCGACGAUCAGUAGCUGGUCUGAGAGGAUGACCAGCCACACUGGGACUGAGACACGGCCCAGAAUCCUAAGGGAGGCAGCAGUUAGGAAUCCAGCGCAAUGGGCGAAAGGCGGACGCAGCCAUGCCGCGUGAAUUAUGAAGGUCUUAGGAAUGUAAAAUUCUUUCACCGGGGACUGCAAUGACGGUACCCGGAGAAGAAGCCCCGGCUAACUUCGUG